GGGGGCGCAUGUACUAAGGGUAGCGACGAAGCCUUGCAAGUUUCGUGUUAUGGGUUCGAUUCCCAUCGUCUCCACCA
RNAcentral lists this transfer RNA (77 nucleotides) under Escherichia coli. Its description in RNAcentral is "tRNA-Ala". RNAcentral also lists the same sequence under 4 other names. Lineage: Bacteria; Pseudomonadati; Pseudomonadota; Gammaproteobacteria; Enterobacterales; Enterobacteriaceae. The record is from RNAcentral.